This 253-nucleotide ribosomal RNA is filed under the name uncultured bacterium. RNAcentral describes it as "partial 16S ribosomal RNA". It matches the Rfam family "Bacterial small subunit ribosomal RNA", at positions 524 to 776 of the family's 1533-position model. The record is from RNAcentral.
UACAGAGGGUGCAAGCGUUGUUCGGAAUUACUGGGCGUAAAGGGCGCGUAGGCGGUUUGGUAAGUCAGAUGUGAAAGCCCGGGGCUCAACCCCGGAAGUGCAUUUGAAACUACCAGGCUAGAGUGCAGUAGAGAAUGGCGGAAUUCCCAGUGGAGAGGUGAAAUUCGUAGAUAUUGGGAGGAACACCGGUGGCGAAGGCGGCCAUUUGGGCUGUAACUGACGCUGAGGCGCGAGAGCGUGGGUAGCAAACAGG